Hydractinia symbiolongicarpus is the source of this 9612-nucleotide RNA transcript. It is a transcript of the gene named xaa-Arg dipeptidase-like, with no coding region annotated. NCBI's taxonomy places the organism in Eukaryota, Metazoa, Cnidaria, Hydrozoa, Anthoathecata, Hydractiniidae. The record is from RefSeq and is a predicted model, not a curated record. The transcript is spliced from 6 exons.
AUGGUCCAUUUUUACAUAAAUCUAAUUGAACUGUUAUGUCAUGGUAAUUACUCAGUCCGAAAAAUGGAAGGUAAAUUUAAACUAAAAGCUUGUGAAGAAAUAGAUGCUCGUUCAUCUGAGUUAAACAGCAUUGGUCAGGAAAUUUGGAAAAAUCCUGAACUUGGAUAUGAAGAAUUUGCAGCUCAUGAAUUACUAACAACGUUUUUGGAGAAAGAAGGAUUUAAUGUUUCAAAGAAAACACCAUUAGAAACUUCUUUUAUUGCAAGAUAUGGAAAUUCAGAAGGUUUAAAGAUUGGUAUUUUAUGUGAGUAUGAUGCAUUACCUGGAGUGGGUCAUGCUUGUGGACAUAAUUUGAUUGCAGAAGCUGGUAUUGGGGCAGCAUUAGGCAUCAAAUCUGUGUUGGAUGUUAUACCAGAAAAAAAUGUUCAACUUAUUGUGUUUGGAACGCCAGCAGAAGAGUGUGGGGAUGGAAAAACCAGAAUGAUUGCAAAAGGUGUAUUUGAUGAACCAGACAUUUGUAUGAUGUCACAUCCUGCCCCAUAUGAGAUACCAAUCCCAAUGUGGCUUGCAGCCUGUGAUUUAAAAAUAUCUUUUAAAGGAAAAGCAUCUCAUGCAGCUGCUGCACCAUGGGAAGGCAUCAAUGCAUUGGAUGCAGCUGUUGCGUGUUACAACAAUGUAUCCAUGCUACGUCAACAAAUGAAAACAACAUCUCGCGUUCAUUGCACAAUUGUUAAGGGUGGUGAUAAACCAAACAUCAUUCCAGAGUAUGCAGAAAUGCAUUAUUUUAUUCGAGGACUUACGGAUGCUGAUAAAACAGAUUUGUAUCAAAAGGUGACAAAUUGUGCAAAAGGAGCUGCUGAAGCAACAGGGUGCACUGUUGAGUUUGCUAUUAAUUGUGAAAUGUCAUCCAUCAACACUAACAAGAUUUUAAUAGAAUUGUAUAUUUCAAAUGCAAAAAGUUUGGGUGUGUCUUUUAACGAUGAAGAUCAAGUUACAAAGUUACUAGCAGGUUCGGACAUGGGUGAUGUAACACAGAUUAAACCAUCAAUACAUCCACUAUACAGAAUUCAAACAGCAGGGGCAAAUCAUACUCAUAAAUUCACACAAGCAACUGGAGAUGUAAUAAAUCAGUUACCAACAUUGAAUUCUGCUAAAAGUAUGGCAAUGACAGCUAUUGAUGUGAUAUGCAAACCUGAAUUAAUGGAAGAUAUUAAGAAAAGUUUUCAAGGAGUGUGUUAGUAUCAAUACUGUAUUAUAGAUGUAACUUUUUUUAAUUGCUAUGUAUUCUAGUGGUCAUUAAAUUUUUAUUUUAAAUUUUUUGCAUGCAAUUCAUACAAUUCAUACAUAAAAAAAUUUAUAAAGUUCAUUUCUCGGCUUUUAUAAUAUUCUAUGAUUUUUUUAGAGAACUAUUUUUUUCAGUACUGCAUGUGUUACAAUCUCAAAGGUGAUUGCAAAUCAAUUUUAUAUUUUAUAUUGACUCAACACAUAUUUUUCUCUGAGCAUGCAUAUAUAUUAAUGUCCAAUUGCUUACGUAGUAGAAAACCUUCCUUUUUGAAAGAUGUUUUUCCUGAUUGUUUUCUGAAAUACAAAUUAUAGAAAUUUCAUUGUCUAUAAAAAACAUUUAUAGGAUCAUUUAUUUUAUUAGACUUGUGUGCUAUACAGCCACAUUGUUUUCAGCAGUAUUGUUUUACCAGUUAUUAAUCAUUUUUUACUGAAACUAUUAAAUCUAUUAAUUAACUUUAAGAUCUGCACAGCAUUGGUCACAGCGUAAUAACUAUUGUCUCUUUAAUUUAAUUUUUUAAGCAACUGAAUCGAAGUAAGAAUGCACUUUCUGUUUCCCAACAAGAACAUGUAAAUAACAAAUUUAACAUAAAGCAACAGGGAGAGGGGGAGUAACACAGGCCACUCAAAGUUCAAUGUUGAGAUUUUUUUCUUCUUCUUGAUUUUGACAAGAAAAUACCAGAAUUCAUUAUAGAAGCCUUUUAGCAAAAAUGUUUUAUCUCAGGUCAAGUUAUCAUGAUCAUCAUCAUUGUCAUCAUUGUUAUUUGAAAUCCUUGGUUGACUGCUUUAAGAUACUGAAAGUUUUAUUCUUUUAUCUUUCUUUGGGAAAUGUCUAUGCAGUUAGCAACUAUUUGUAUUAAGACAAGAUUCCAUUCUUUUUCUUUACCAUCAUGGCUUUAAAUUUUACAUCGACAAUUGCAUCAACAAGUUUUCUUUAAUAAAUUUUUGCUAAGUAAGAGGGGAAUAUUUUCUUUUAUUAUCUGGGUAAGCAGAUAAUAAGCGAUACUUAAAUCAAGCAACCUGGUUGUUAAAAAAGCCGUUCAAUUAUAGUGUAACCCAGUUAUUAUUUACUAGCAAUGCCUGCUGACACGUCAUAGAGACAUUAGAAUCUUAAAUUUAAAUUGUGGUAACUUUGUAAACAAAAACCUAAGGAAGAAAAAGUUUGACAAAAAGAUGCAUACUUCAAAUACCUAUUAUGCAGAAAUCAGCAUGAAGAUUUGCUGAGAGAGGUUAAUUAUCUGGAUAAUGUCCUAUUUUUAACCUAUUUACAAGUUUUUGCAAUGACACGCUAUUCUUUGUUAAUGUGUCAGCAAGAUGUUUGCUAGUUUUAAGCCAAAGCUUUAGCACGUCUUUGUUAACAAUCAGUUGUUUAAAUACUCUAAUAUAUCUUUUUAACCUCUUGUCGCUCACAUACUUAAAGAUUUUAACCAGUGAUUUGUUGUCAGAUAUUGUCUCAAUGGCCAAUCUAAUGAGAAUUAUGACCAUAGCCAAUGUCAAUGCUGCUGAGAUGUUAAUGCUGCAUCAAUACCUUUACCCAUAGUUAUUGUUUAAGCAGCAAGACAGCUUUUUACAAUCUGUUCCAGACGCUUCAAUGCCAAGUGAUGUUACAAGUGUUGUUUUCAUCAGCAAGAAAGUGGCAAGUGGCUUUCACAAUCAGACAGAUUUCUAAAUACUGCAUCUGCAUAGACAAUAACUUUGAUCUGAUCCUGAAGUUGUUUAAACGUCUAAAUGUUGGAGAAGUUUUCAAGUUUCCUAAUUACUUAAUUAAGGGCAAAAAUGUCUUUGUAGGUUGAUUUUUUUAUUGCAAUACUACAAGAUUUAAUACUUUGAAGCAAAUGUCUGUUCGGGUGUGAUUGAUUACUCACAAGAGUUGUUCAAUUUUUGAUUCCUUUGAAGAAAUUUUUUUGUACUAUUCUCAGAAUGAUACAUUAAGGUUGGCUGCAGUGUGUUGAAGUGAUCAGCAUGGUCGAUAAUAAUACUUUCUUUAUCUUGGCAAAUGUUGAGAUAUCUUAAGGUACUUCAUUUUUCAUUUAAUAGUAAAAGAUUUUGGGUAACAAUAAUUUAUUUAUAAGGUAUAAUUUGAUUUAAAAAAUAACAAUCCCCAGACCAAAAAAAGUCACCAAUAUGUUUGGCUAUGUAAAAGCGUUAAAAUAGUAUUUUUAACACGCUGAUACGAUUGAUUUGAAUUGUCACUUUCUUCCUCUUUAUCUUUGUCUAAAAUUAUUUGAUCAAUCUUCACAUAUGAUUUUCAAGCAUGCAUUCAGCUGUGUCAGAGUCACAGCUAAAUCUUUCAGUUAGGUCAUGCGGAUUAUUUGCCAGAUUUUGCUCUUUAAUUUUUUAAUUUGUUUAACUCCUUGGCAAGUAAUGAUAAGUUUUCACAAAUUUUGCACAAGAUGCGUGUGGUAUGUUGAUAUUGCAGAUAUAUAUUCUUUUUCAGGUUUAAAAAAAUCAUAAGUUGUGAGAAUGUCAACUUUUUGUUGACUUUCGAUUUAAACGAUUCAACAAUUUAUUCGAAAGAAUUGGAAAUGGAAACUAUCUCACAUAAAGGCCAUAAAAGGGCCUUUUUGGCGAACGGUUGUUGAUUCUUCAAAGGCUACGAUGCAAGAUUUAACAAACAGAGUUAAGUGUCUAAACAGAUGACUGGGAUGCCAAUUCAUCUACAGGACAAACUUUAACAUUCAUAUUGUCUUGUACUGUGGCUUCCUUCUUUUUUUUUUCGCAGCCAAAUUUGGUAAUUUUCAUUAUCUUUAAAUUUGAUAUAAUUAUCCAUUAUCUUUCUUCAAAUUUAUUAUCAAUUUUAGUGGUCUUUCCUUUUCCUUCUUCUUUAGCUUCUCCCUUUGUAAGUUGGAGUUUUGGGCAUUAGUCAGUACAGAAUGUUCCCUUUUCUUUGGCUGCUCGUAAAGAAAAGAAUAGCUAUAAAGACUAAUAAAUUGUAAAUUUGUCUGCAUGAAAAUAUAAUAACAAUAACACCAAAUAAUAAUAACAUAUAGCAAUAAAAAUGAUGGACAGCAAUGCAAAACCUGCAUAAAAAUGUUAUGCAAUGUAAAAAGUUGUUAAAAAAACUUACCACUUUUUUUUACUGUAGAUUUUUUAUAGCGAUAUAUGUAGCUAAUCCAUAGGUCUUAUAAAUAUGUUGAUAAAACAAAAACACAUUAGAAAAGCUCCAAAACAAUUCGAAACAACGCUGUAGUAUUGUAAAAUUGUAUGAACAAAAUUUUUUGGUAGCACAUUUUUAAGUUGGCUUCCAUGGCAUUCACCGCAAAUUAAACAUAUUUGGCUGUUUUAUACCUGAUAGGGAACAGUCUAAUUUGAUACUUUGCAUUUCAAUUGACCCCAGAGAAACCUUAGUUUUUCAACUUAAAAUUUAAAGCUAACAAUCAAAAAAAUUGCAAACUUUUAAAACCCUUUUUUUCUCAACCGAAUUUGAAAAUAGCCCUCCAUAAUAUGGCUGCCGGAAAUUCCUUUCUUUCUUGCACUGGUAAAGUUACACCGCAUUACAUGUAGAGAUAAAUUAAGGAUACUAUACACUUUUCCUAUGAGCAUUUAAAAUUAUAUUGUAAAAAGAGAUUUUUAACUGCAGUCAAUAACUAAGGUAAAUAAAAGAAAUGAUGAUAAUUUACGUAAAUUGUUGUUUGAUCUUCCUUGUCAGGGCCAACAAAGUACGACAUUUUCUGUAUUUCGUUAAAAACAAGCUAAAUGUUGGGUUACUUAACAUAGCAUCCUUUGUUCAACUGCAUAAUUUUUCAUUUAUCAGCCUUUAAAUUUUUUGAUGUUGUUUCAUUAGUUCCAUAUGCUAUCUUCUAUCACACUAACAGCAAAUUAACCUGACACCACCACACAACCAAGUACGUAACCACCAAUACUAUGUACAACUCUAGACGGUAAACCACAUAUAUAUAACCAGAGGGCCUAGAAAUUCCGCCCUGAGUUUCUGCUCCAUAUUUUAAGGAGGUGAGGGUGAAGUGACCAUGGUAGAUGACAGUGGUGGAACAAGAUUUGGACUUUGGUCUAAAGUGAUUUGAGUUGCAACUUUAACCAUCAUCAUCUGAAUUUUCUGAUUUACUUAAAUUUUUUUUCGCUAAAUAAUAUAUAUGGUGCUCACCGUCACGGCAAGUAGACUGUCAGUUUUGUGGGUUACAAUGCGUUACUGAAGAUAAAUAAGACUUGGUAUGGAAAUACCAAAUAUAAACCUAUGAAAGGUAAACUUCUAAUUUUUAUAAAUUGACCCAUAAUAUCACAAUAUUGCUGUAAAUGUUGUAUAUUCUUGAUUGAAAAGUGAUCUGAAAGAGAUUCAGGGUUACGUGGGUCAUUAUCCAAGUUGUAAAUAAAAUCUUAAAUUUUAUCUUUCAGAAGUGACUGAUUUUUGAAAGUCAUAUUUUUUUAACUGCUUGCACACAGCACUUUUAGUUACACAUACACAUUUUUUGGAUGGAAAUCUACUAUUCCUUUCCAAAAUUCACCUAGUUAUGUAUGUUUGUUUUUCUAGUUUUGUUGUUUUUCUAGUGCAUAUUGUAACCUAUAUUUUUGCUUGCGUUAUAAAGUAAAGAUUAAGUAAAGAUUUUAGAAUUUUCAAAACUUUUUAUAAAAAGAGUUAUUCUUCGCACUUCUAAUACUGUGAUACUUGUUGGUGCUUUAGUUCUGAGACAUUUUUUUAACGUUUGUUUUCAUAUCCAACAUAAUUGUUGGAUAUAUGAAAGCAAACAUUGAAUCCAGAUUUAUAAUCCUUCUUUUGCUAACUUUUGUAAAAUCUGUUAUAUUUUAGAAGCUAUGUCAUAUAACUUAAACAUUUUUGUAAGGGCAUAGUGUUAUAUUUUGAUGAUUUGGUUGAAAUGUAAGAAGUUAGGUUUUUCCUGUAAAAAUAUUUUUCAACUGCUUUGAUAUUAACUUGUUCUUGUUUCAAUAUUUUAAGAACAGGUUUCUUCUUUAUUUUACUUUAUACAGCUUUAAGUUUAAGGUAUGAUAAAUUAAAUUUGUUAUUGUACUGCUUGAUACUGUUGAAAGAAAUUUUGAACUUGAGAGUAGGGUUCUGACCAAAUGAUAAAUUGUUACAGAUGAUUGUAUCACCUCUUUACAGUUUUAAGACAAAAAAGAUUCAAGUUUAAAGCUACAGUCAUACAUUUCAAUAAAAAGCUCUUGUAAAAAAUAUUGUAUUUUUAUUUAUUUUUUUUAUGUAUUCAUCAAUGCACCGACUUCAGACCAUUUUUUAAAUAGGUGUAAAAAAUUAAAUGUCUUCAAUAUAUUCAAUAUGUUUGGCUAUGUAAAAGCGUUAAAAUAGUAUUUUUAACACGCUGAUACGAUUGAUUUGAAUUGUCACUUUCUUCCUCUUUAUCUUUGUCUAAAAUUAUUUGAUCAAUCUUCACAUAUGAUUUUCAAGCAUGCAUUCAGCUGUGUCAGAGUCACAGCUAAAUCUUUCAGUUAGGUCAUGCGGAUUAUUUGCCAGAUUUUCCUCUUUAAUUUUUUAAUUUGUUUAACUCCUUGGCAAGUAAUGAUAAGUUUUCACAAAUUUUGCACAAGAUGCGUGUGGUAUGUUGAUAUUGCAGAUAUAUAUUCUUUUUCAGGUUUAAAAAAAUCAUAAGUUGUGAGAAUGUCAACUUUUUGUUGACUUUCGAUUUAAACGAUUCAACAAUUUAUUCGAAAGAAUUGGAAAUGGAAACUAUCUCACAUAAAGGCCAUAAAAGGGCCUUUUUGGCGAACGGUUGUUGAUUCUUCAAAGGCUACGAUGCAAGAUUUAACAAACAGAGUUAAGUGUCUAAACAGAUGACUGGGAUGCCAAUUCAUCUACAGGACAAACUUUAACAUUCAUAUUGUCUUGUACUGUGGCUUCCUUCUUUUUUUUUUCGCAGCCAAAUUUGGUAAUUUUCAUUAUCUUUAAAUUUGAUAUAAUUAUCCAUUAUCUUUCUUCAAAUUUAUUAUCAAUUUUAGUGGUCUUUCCUUUUCCUUCUUCUUUAGCUUCUCCCUUUGUAAGUUGGAGUUUUGGGCAUUAGUCAGUACAGAAUGUUCCCUUUUCUUUGGCUGCUCGUAAAGAAAAGAAUAGCUAUAAAGACUAAUAAAUUGUAAAUUUGUCUGCAUGAAAAUAUAAUAACAAUAACACCAAAUAAUAAUAACAUAUAGCAAUAAAAAUGAUGGACAGCAAUGCAAAACCUGCAUAAAAAUGUUAUGCAAUGUAAAAAGUUGUUAAAAAAACUUACCACUUUUUUUUACUGUAGAUUUUUUAUAGCGAUAUAUGUAGCUAAUCCAUAGGUCUUAUAAAUAUGUUGAUAAAACAAAAACACAUUAGAAAAGCUCCAAAACAAUUCGAAACAACGCUGUAGUAUUGUAAAAUUGUAUGAACAAAAUUUUUUGGUAGCACAUUUUUAAGUUGGCUUCCAUGGCAUUCACCGCAAAUUAAACAUAUUUGGCUGUUUUAUACCUGAUAGGGAACAGUCUAAUUUGAUACUUUGCAUUUCAAUUGACCCCAGAGAAACCUUAGUUUUUCAACUUAAAAUUUAAAGCUAACAAUCAAAAAAAUUGCAAACUUUUAAAACCCUUUUUUUCUCAACCGAAUUUGAAAAUAGCCCUCCAUAAUAUGGCUGCCGGAAAUUCCUUUCUUUCUUGCACUGGUAAAGUUACACCGCAUUACAUGUAGAGAUAAAUUAAGGAUACUAUACACUUUUCCUAUGAGCAUUUAAAAUUAUAUUGUAAAAAGAGAUUUUUAACUGCAGUCAAUAACUAAGGUAAAUAAAAGAAAUGAUGAUAAUUUACGUAAAUUGUUGUUUGAUCUUCCUUGUCAGGGCCAACAAAGUACGACAUUUUCUGUAUUUCGUUAAAAACAAGCUAAAUGUUGGGUUACUUAACAUAGCAUCCUUUGUUCAACUGCAUAAUUUUUCAUUUAUCAGCCUUUAAAUUUUUUGAUGUUGUUUCAUUAGUUCCAUAUGCUAUCUUCUAUCACACUAACAGCAAAUUAACCUGACACCACCACACAACCAAGUACGUAACCACCAAUACUAUGUACAACUCUAGACGGUAAACCACAUAUAUAUAACCAGAGGGCCUAGAAAUUCCGCCCUGAGUUUCUGCUCCAUAUUUUAAGGAGGUGAGGGUGAAGUGACCAUGGUAGAUGACAGUGGUGGAACAAGAUUUGGACUUUGGUCUAAAGUGAUUUGAGUUGCAACUUUAACCAUCAUCAUCUGAAUUUUCUGAUUUACUUAAAUUUUUUUUCGCUAAAUAAUAUAUAUGGUGCUCACCGUCACGGCAAGUAGACUGUCAGUUUUGUGGGUUACAAUGCGUUACUGAAGAUAAAUAAGACUUGGUAUGGAAAUACCAAAUAUAAACCUAUGAAAGGUAAACUUCUAAUUUUUAUAAAUUGACCCAUAAUAUCACAAUAUUGCUGUAAAUGUUGUAUAUUCUUGAUUGAAAAGUGAUCUGAAAGAGAUUCAGGGUUACGUGGGUCAUUAUCCAAGUUGUAAAUAAAAUCUUAAAUUUUAUCUUUCAGAAGUGACUGAUUUUUGAAAGUCAUAUUUUUUUAACUGCUUGCACACAGCACUUUUAGUUACACAUACACAUUUUUUGGAUGGAAAUCUACUAUUCCUUUCCAAAAUUCACCUAGUUAUGUAUGUUUGUUUUUCUAGUUUUGUUGUUUUUCUAGUGCAUAUUGUAACCUAUAUUUUUGCUUGCGUUAUAAAGUAAAGAUUAAGUAAAGAUUUUAGAAUUUUCAAAACUUUUUAUAAAAAGAGUUAUUCUUCGCACUUCUAAUACUGUGAUACUUGUUGGUGCUUUAGUUCUGAGACAUUUUUUUAACGUUUGUUUUCAUAUCCAACAUAAUUGUUGGAUAUAUGAAAGCAAACAUUGAAUCCAGAUUUAUAAUCCUUCUUUUGCUAACUUUUGUAAAAUCUGUUAUAUUUUAGAAGCUAUGUCAUAUAACUUAAACAUUUUUGUAAGGGCAUAGUGUUAUAUUUUGAUGAUUUGGUUGAAAUGUAAGAAGUUAGGUUUUUCCUGUAAAAAUAUUUUUCAACUGCUUUGAUAUUAACUUGUUCUUGUUUCAAUAUUUUAAGAACAGGUUUCUUCUUUAUUUUACUUUAUACAGCUUUAAGUUUAAGGUAUGAUAAAUUAAAUUUGUUAUUGUACUGCUUGAUACUGUUGAAAGAAAUUUUGAACUUGAGAGUAGGGUUCUGACCAAAUGAUAAAUUGUUACAGAUGAUUGUAUCACCUCUUUACAGUUUUAAGACAAAAAAGAUUCAAGUUUAAAGCUACAGUCAUACAUUUCAAUAAAAAGCUCUUGUAAAAAAUAUUGUAUUUUUAUUUAUUUUUUUUAUGUAUUCAUCAAUGCACCGACUUCAGACCAUUUUUUAAAUA